CACACACUCCUAGUUUGUGAUUGUGCAGAAGUGUGUGUACCCUUAUGUGCCUGUAGCAGUAUUUUCGUUUCGUUUUGUUUAAACCGGAAGGGAUAAAACAAACAAAAAAAAUGCAAAUAGAUGUUAAUUAUUAUCACAAUGCAGGCCCGUUGUUCUUGCCAGUUCUCCACUUUGUGAGAGGGCCCUACCUACAGUCCUUUAAUCUAAUCUAACCCCUUUCAAUUCUUUAUUCUCAUCAGGUGCCAGAGUGAUUUUGCAUAUAUUAUUUAAUUUGAUCUUUACAAUAAUUAUUUCACAGAUUAAUCAGGACUUGAAGCCAUGGUCUUCCCUCCAUUUGUUAAUCAUAUUUUUAUUGGGCAUCUUCUACUUACCAGACACUUCUCUGGGUACUGGGGAUUGGUCGCUAACCUGAUGUUACGUGAGUUUAUAACCUCGACAGACGAUGAUCAAACAAGCAAAACGUAAACGCGGGGUGUGCGCACGCAUGCGCAAGCACAUGAAGGUGUAGGUGCGCGCAUGCGUGUCAGCCUGCGCGUGCGCGCAUGGUGUGUGCGUACGUAAGGGCAACUAGAGGCACAUGCUCUGAAGAACAACGGAGAGCAACGGAGAGUCCGAGACCGUGGGUACUUCGGUCAGUGUUGGCCCAGAAUGAAAAACACACCCCUUAUAAUCCGCGGAGGAUGUAAUCCACGACAUUAAUAACUGAAUCUGGAAAUUGCCAGCAGUUUUGACACAACUAUCUGGCAAAAGAAACAAACUGGAGGGGCAGAGGGAGGAUAUUACACUUUCUGCAAGAGCUGAAAACAAAAAGGUUCACCACAGGAGAUGUGGUGGCCAGGAGACCUGAGAAUCCAGCCUACUCAAUAAUCAUAUUUCUCAUGGUAAAUCUAAAACUUGGAAUGUGCCUUGGGAGAGAAAGGAGAGAAAUGACAGGAGACUGGAGGUGUCAUGUCUGGAUUAGAUGUUCGAGUGCUACAAUGUACACCUUGUUCUUAACAAGUGCCACGAGGACUCAAUGUCAUCAUCUUGGGGUCUUCUUACUGCCACACAGCCCCAUGAGUUUGAAAAUAACUCGGAUGAACAGAUUAAAAAACCAAGGUGCAGACAGAUGGGAGCACUUGAAGUCACACAUCUAGACAAGAAAGAAACUUCAAGUUGGAAGAGGCAAGGUUCCCACAGAUGUUGGUGACAGAAAAUGGAAACCCAGGCAAGAAAUAAGGAAUGUUCUAAAGGCCCGCUCAGGGUCCCAGGGCCUGGCCAGAUAAAUUAACUUCUAGGAGACUUGUCUGCUUUGAAGAGCUGAGACUUUGAGGGAAGGGGCUAGAAGCCCAGCCACUGGAAAGUUACGAUCUUUUAAAAAAUAUGGGCAGGCAGUUUGGAUGAUCUUUGGUCACGCGAGCUGGACAUUGUCUCCAGACUGAAGAGCCUUUUCUGACAUCCUCAUUUGUUCUGCUGUGUAAUAGCAUGGGAUCUUUCAGAGCUGUCGACAUCUGCUGCACUCUAGAGAGCUGCAGAACCGAGCCAGCAAAGCAAUAAUAAUUAUGCCCAAAUGGACUGCAAAGGAUGUAAGAGAUAAGAAGGAAGACCAGAAAAAAAUACACUCGAUGCAAUGGUG
Long non-coding RNA from Felis catus (domestic cat), 1615 nucleotides. RefSeq lists it as uncharacterized. NCBI's taxonomy places the organism in Eukaryota, Metazoa, Chordata, Mammalia, Carnivora, Felidae. The record is from RefSeq and is a predicted model, not a curated record. The transcript is spliced from 8 exons.